CAUCCUCUGCGGUGUCCGUGAGCUGACUUUGUAAUCCCUUGAGCCUUAGUACACUAGACAGGGGAUCUGAUUCUCACCGCGGUGUGCAUGUCCGCCUUGAGCGGAAAGCCUGAACGGUGACAGGGAUUCCCACUUGAACCUGCCGGUUCAAGGUCUCAAGUCAGCAGCGGCACAGGCGGAGGAUGC
RNAcentral lists this non-coding RNA (186 nucleotides) under Thiolapillus brandeum. RNAcentral describes it as "6S / SsrS RNA". It matches the Rfam family "6S / SsrS RNA". From Rfam's summary of the family: E. coli 6S RNA was the first non coding RNA to be sequenced, but its function was unknown until recently. It consists of 184 nucleotides that fold into an extended hairpin structure with a large single-stranded internal bulge. The record is from Rfam by way of RNAcentral. Lineage: Bacteria; Pseudomonadati; Pseudomonadota; Gammaproteobacteria; Chromatiales; Sedimenticolaceae.